This 554-nucleotide ribosomal RNA is filed under the name uncultured bacterium. RNAcentral's name for it is "bacterial SSU rRNA". It matches the Rfam family "Bacterial small subunit ribosomal RNA", at positions 777 to 1328 of the family's 1533-position model. The record is from RNAcentral.
AAUAGAUACCCGGGUAGUCCACGCCGUAAACGAUGAGUGCUAAGUGUUAGGGGGUUUCCGCCCCUUAGUGCUGCAGCUAACGCAUUAAGCACUCCGCCUGGGGGAGUACGGUCGCAAGACUGAAACUCAAAGGAAUUGACGGGGGCCCGCACAAGCGGUGGAGCAUGUGGUUUAAUUCGAAGCAACGCGAAGAACCUUACCAGGUCUUGACAUCCCAUUGACCACUAUGGAGACAUAGUUUUCCCUUCGGGGACAACGGUGACAGGUGGUGCAUGGUUGUCGUCAGCUCGUGUCGUGAGAUGUUGGGUUAAGUCCCGCAACGAGCGCAACCCUUGUUCUUAGUUGCCAUCAUUUAGUUGGGCACUCUAAGGAGACUGCCGGUGACAAACCGGAGGAAGGUGGGGAUGACGUCAAAUCAUCAUGCCCCUUAUGACCUGGGCUACACACGUGCUACAAUGGACGGUACAAACGGUUGCCAACCCGCGAGGGGGAGCUAAUCCGAUAAAACCGUUCUCAGUUCGGAUUGUAGGCUGCAACUCGCCUACAUGAAGACC